RNAcentral lists this small nuclear RNA (104 nucleotides) under Myotis davidii. The record is from RNAcentral. Lineage: Eukaryota; Metazoa; Chordata; Mammalia; Chiroptera; Vespertilionidae.
UUGCUCGCUUCGGCAGCACAUAUACUAAAAUUGGAAUGAAACAGAGAUUAACAUGGCCCAUGCACAAGGAUGACACGCAAAUUUGUGAAGCAUUACAUAUUUUU